GACGAACGCUGGCGGCGUGCCUAACACAUGCAAGCCGAACGGAGAAUUUUAUUUCGGUAGAAUUCUUAGUGGCGAACGGGUGAGUAACGCGUAGGCAACCUGCCCUUUAGACGGGGACAACAUUCCGAAAGGAGUGCUAAUACCGGAUGUGAUCAUCUUGCCGCAUGGCAGGAUGAAGAAAGAUGGCCUCUACAAGUAAGCUAUCGCUAAAGGAUGGGCCUGCGUCUGAUUAGCUAGUUGGUAGUGUAACGGACUACCAAGGCGAUGAUCAGUAGCCGGUCUGAGAGGAUGAACGGCCACAUUGGGGACUGAGACACGGCCCAAACUCCUACGGGAGGCAGCAGUGGGGAAUCUUCCGCAAUGGACGAAAGUCUGACGGAGCAACGCCGCGUGAGUGAUGAAGGGAUUUCGGGCCUGUAAAGCUCUGUUGUUUAUGUACGAACAUGCAGUGUGUGAAACAAUGCAUUUGCAAAAUGACGGUAGUAAAACG
Molecule: ribosomal RNA, 490 nt
Filed under: uncultured bacterium
Lineage: Bacteria
Description: bacterial SSU rRNA
Rfam family: Bacterial small subunit ribosomal RNA
Source: RNAcentral